UACGUAGGUGGCGAGCGUUGUCCGGAUUUACUGGGCGUAAAGGGAGCGUAGGCGGACUUUUAAGUGAGAUGUGAAAUUCUCGGGCUCAACUUGAGUGCUGCAUUUCAAACUGGAAGUCUAGAGUGCAGGAGAGGAGAAUGGAAUUCCUAGUGUAGCGGUGAAAUGCGUAGAGAUUAGGAAGAACACCAGUGGCGAAGGCGAUUCUCUGGACUGUAACUGACGCUGAGGCUCGAAAGCGUGGGGAGCAAACAGG
RNAcentral lists this ribosomal RNA (253 nucleotides) under uncultured bacterium. RNAcentral's name for it is "partial 16S ribosomal RNA". It matches the Rfam family "Bacterial small subunit ribosomal RNA", at positions 524 to 776 of the family's 1533-position model. The record is from RNAcentral.